GUCCACGCCGUAAACGAUGUCGAUUUGGAGGCUGUGUCCUUGAGACGUGGCUUCCGGAGCUAACGCGUUAAAUCGACCGCCUGGGGAGUACGGCCGCAAGGUUAAAACUCAAAUGAAUUGACGGGGGCCCGCACAAGCGGUGGAUGAUGUGGAUUAAUUCGAUGCAACGCGAAAAACCUUACCUAGCCUUGACAUGCCAGGAAGGUCUGAGAGAUCAGACCGUGCCCGCAAGGGAAUCUGGGCACAGGUGCUGCAUGGCUGUCGU
Molecule: ribosomal RNA, 265 nt
Filed under: uncultured bacterium
Lineage: Bacteria
Description: partial 16S ribosomal RNA
Rfam family: Bacterial small subunit ribosomal RNA
Source: RNAcentral